Molecule: long non-coding RNA, 2297 nt
Organism: Populus trichocarpa (black cottonwood)
Lineage: Eukaryota; Viridiplantae; Streptophyta; Magnoliopsida; Malpighiales; Salicaceae
Exons: 3
Source: RefSeq, a predicted model, not a curated record
UAUGCUUGAGCUGUGUUUCAUAUACAGUGAUAUGAAACACAGCUCAAGCAUAUUCAAAGAUUGGAGUGCAAUGCUAGGCACUCUAGCACAAUCAGCCUUUUCUUGUCUUGUGUUUUUUUCUUAUGCAAAAUUUUGCUGCCUUGAAGUUAAAUAUCACUUUGAAAGGGCAUUACAGACGUAGUAUCCAAUUUUGGAAAAUCAUGCAAACUCUUGGCCCUUACCACGAAUCCAAACCCAACUGUUUAUUCGAACAAAAAUAGAGCUUCCACUUUUUGUCAAUUUGCACCUUUAAAGCUUACAAUAGUCUCCUAUCUCCUCGAUUCAUCAAAAACCAAAAAGAAAAUCUCCUCUCUCAAAGAAUGGUUCCAAAAUCCACAAAGAAAGCCGCAAUUUUGCUACUCUGUAUCGAUCGAUUCAAUGUCUACUUGCUUCAAAAUCACAGAACUACAUGAAUGCAAGCGUUUCAACUUUCCAAAAUACUAUGUGAAUUUCUUUGUUACUUUCUUCCAGAUCCAGCUAUAAAACACAGUGUAUUCCAAUUUGGGAAAGAAAGACAUGCCCUCUAUAAUCAAGUUCAUUGUCCAACUUCGUGUUUUCAUAGCACUAGAAAUUCAACAUCAGAGUGGGUGGAACUGUAUCAGUAGCUCUCAAGGGAAAUGCAUUGUUUGGAACAAAUUCUGUAACUGGCGAGCAGAGGGGCUUUAUAUAAGCUACAUCUGUUACAGAAUUGACUCGUGUCAGUGAAACAAAAGGUCGAUGAUACAUUCCAACCGAGAAACAAUUGGUUGAUCCAUUUCGUCGAGGGGUCAUCAUUAAAGGAGGAGUUGGAUACAGACAAACUGUUGUUACUUACAAGGUCAUUUGAAGUUGGUGCUGAUAAAACUGCAACAUUAGAAAGCAUUCUCAACCUUCUUCAGGAAACAGCAUUGAACCAUGUAUGGAUAUCUGGACUGCUAGGUGAUGGUUUUGGUGCCACGCAUGGCAUGGUAAGCAAUAACCUCGCAAGGGUUGUAACAAGGAUGCAAGUUCGAGUUGAUGAAUAUCCAGUUUGUAAGCCCAGUCACUUGUGUGAAAGAAAAUUAUUGAUGCGUUGAACCACCAAGGUGUAGUCACAUUUUUGGUGAGUUGAGGAAGUGGAUGCUUGAGAAGCUUAAUGGUUUUUGUAGGGGUGGAGUAAUGGAGGUUGACACAUGGGUAGGGGCAUCAGGUAAAAAUGGAAUCAGGCGAGACUGGCUUAUCAGAAGUGAUGCCACCGGAGAAGUCUUAGCUCGGGCUACAAGAACUUGGGCGAUGAUGAACCAACAAACUAGACGACUAUCAAAGAUGCCAGAAGCAAUCAGAGCGGAGAUUUCACCUGGGUUUAUAGAAUAGAAAACUUUUCAAGAAGAAAUUCCUGAAAGAUCAACAAGCUAAACACGAAUGCCAAAUUUACAAACAGCAACGUGAAGGUGAUCUUCUAUAAUAGUGCUUUCUAUAUCAAUAACAGACUUUGGCUGGACCAACAAAAAAAAUAUUAUUUUUGUGAUCAUACUUGUAUAAUUUCACGAUCAAAAGAACAUUAGAUGCACAAUCAACCAACAGAAAUGGUGAUAAUUUUUACCUCAAUCCAGGCGCAGAAAUAUGCUGACAACUUUGCCUGGUGUCCCUGUAACCCGAGAGAAGUGAUUUGGAUAUGAAUCACCAUGUGAACAAUGUUUAGUGUACGUAAAUUGAAUGCUGGAUGUAAACACAUAUAACUUCCCUGGCUAACCAUUCUCAUUACAAAAUUUGGAUAGCCAAACAAGAGAAUUCUAGUGUCUCACUUCCUAAACGGACCAUCCCUCAGAAGUUUUUGGAGACCUACCAGCUAACCAGGAUAGCUUUCGAGUGUAGAAGAGAAUGUGGCAGUUGUUCAGACGUGGUUCAAUCACUAUGUGAACCUGAAGAAGAGUGUUCUGAAGAAAGACAUCAAGACAGUAAUAACGUUGACAAUGGAGAUUCACUAGCAUCACUUUUGUUUCAGGACCGUAACCACAGCAAGUCAUUAAAAAACAUACACCCAUCUUCUACAGAUUAAAGGAGAAAAGGAGAGUGAUGAGAUUGUUCGGGGUGAACUGUGUGGAAAAGAAAGCUCUAAACUAUGCAAUUGAUACCUAGUGAGCUCCAGCAAAGCGCGAGGCUAUAUGUAGUCGCAACUACCAACACAGCAACAUUUUUGCAGACAAGAGUGUUGAGACUUCUACUACAGCCUCGAGCAAUCAAGUAUAUGAUAUAGUCACAUACAUAAGGGCAGGCCUGGCUUGCUCUCUUAGUUUCGU